UGCAGAGGUCCCAAGCGUUGUUCGGAUUCACUGGGCGUAAAGGGUGCGUAGGUGGUGAGGUAAGUCGGAUGUGAAAUCUCCGGGCUCAACCCGGAAAUGGCAUUGGAAACUACCUUGCUAGAGGAUUUGAGGGGGGAUUGGAAUACUUGGUGUAGCAGUGAAAUGCGUAGAUAUCAAGUGGAACACCAGUGGCGAAGGCGAAUCCCUGGAAAAUACCUGACACUGAGGCACGAAAGCUAGGGGAGCAAACAGG
Molecule: ribosomal RNA, 253 nt
Filed under: uncultured bacterium
Lineage: Bacteria
Description: partial 16S ribosomal RNA
Rfam family: Bacterial small subunit ribosomal RNA
Source: RNAcentral